Molecule: transfer RNA, 78 nt
Filed under: Bacillota bacterium
Lineage: Bacteria; Bacillati; Bacillota
Description: tRNA-Arg
Rfam family: tRNA
About the family: Transfer RNA (tRNA) molecules are approximately 80 nucleotides in length.
Source: RNAcentral
GCGCCCGUAGCUCAGUCCGGAUAGAGUAACUGACUACGAAUCAGGAGGUCGCAGGUUCAAAUCCUGCCGGGCGUGCCA